Long non-coding RNA from Coffea eugenioides, 721 nucleotides. RefSeq lists it as uncharacterized. Lineage: Eukaryota; Viridiplantae; Streptophyta; Magnoliopsida; Gentianales; Rubiaceae. The record is from RefSeq and is a predicted model, not a curated record. The transcript has 3 exons.
GAGUAUCUCUUCUUUUCUUCUUCUUCAGGUGAAAGUACCAGCAAGUACUCUUCCCUUCCUGUAACAGAGAUGGUUGCUUCACAUGCUUAUUGUAUUUGGAAGCAUGGAAGGCCUGAAAUCCCUCAGAGAUUAGGUGUCUUCUUUUUCCCCAAAAUUCAGGGAUUUUUCCCCAGGAAAGUGCCCAGUCGUUUGAUUUCAUUCAUUUGUACUGGAAUUGGUUUUGUAACCAUCCAAUUUUCCCAUGAACACCAUAAUUCUAAAUUAUAUUUUUCAGAGAUUUGAUGUGAUAGAAAUUAAGUGAGUAAUAAUUUAGGUUUUUAGGUUUUGAAAAGGAAAAGAAAGAGAAGUGCCCAUAUAAAGGGUGAUAUUUCUUUCUCCGAAGACCUUGCGUUUGAAAGGGAGCUUCUUCUGCUUCUAGCUUUGCUGGCUAUUCUAUUUGGUGUGCAUCUUUUGCUCCAACAAGUUGGCAUAUUCAGUUCUUAGAACUAAUGUACCUUCUGUUGAGAAGACAACCAUUGAAGCUGUUUCCUCGAUUGCUGCAAAAAAGAGUCCUGAAGACAACAAGCUUGCAUCUUCAAAAUCUGCUCAUAUGAGCACUCUCAAGAAGCCACGUGAAUCUGCAAAAUAAAGCAGCCACACAGCUUCAUGUCCUCUUUUGUUCAUCAUGUAUGCUACUGAACUUUUAGCAUGCUAUUUUUUGCCAUCAUAUUAGAAUCCAUUA